Molecule: ribosomal RNA, 378 nt
Filed under: uncultured bacterium
Lineage: Bacteria
Description: bacterial SSU rRNA
Rfam family: Bacterial small subunit ribosomal RNA
Source: RNAcentral
GACGAACCGUGCGAACGUUAUUCGGAAUCACUGGGCUUAAAGCGCGCGUAGGCGGCGUCGUAAGUCAGGGGUGAAAUCCCAACGGCUCAACCGUGGAAUUGCCUUUGAUACUGCGAUGCUCGAGGGAGGUAGGGGCAAGUGGAACUUCCAGUGGAGCGGUGAAAUGUGUUGAGAUUGGAAGGAACGCCGGUGGCGAAAGCGACUUGCUGGAUCUCUUCUGACGCUGAGGCGCGAAAGCUAGGGUAGCGAACGGGAUUAGAUACCCCGGUAGUCCUAGCCUUAAACGAUGGGUACUGAGUAGGAAGCGUUCCGAUGACGCCUCCUGCUGUAGCGAAAGUGUUAAGUACCCCGCCUGGGGAGUAUGGUCGCAAGGCUGAA